This 21-nucleotide microRNA is filed under the name Pteropus alecto (black flying fox). Its description in RNAcentral is "pal-miR-449a-3p". Its record names the gene pal-miR-449a-3p. Lineage: Eukaryota; Metazoa; Chordata; Mammalia; Chiroptera; Pteropodidae. The record is from miRBase by way of RNAcentral.
CAGCUAACAUGCAACUGCUAU